ACAAAUAUUCCCUCGUGUGAGAAAAAGAUCAAGAGCGGAGCGGAGAAGACCGAAGACCACCAAACCCAACGUGUGCGGGCUCACUUUGUUUAACAGUCGUCCUCCUCUCCCUCCUCCUAUUCCGCUGACAACCGCAGCAACUCCCACCUCCACCGUGGUGGCGCAGUGGCGGCCGGGGAUCGAGACCAACGCGAGAAAAAGUCUGGUGCCGUCCAGCUUCCAGGAUUCUCCACCAGUGAGUCCUUUGCUCCUCCCCUCUUGCUUCCCCGGUAGUUGGUUCUUGCCGGCGCGUGGAGGGGGAUGGGAUUUUUCCAGCUCUCGGGUCAGUUGCUCCGUUGAUUCUUCAGCUGCGGGGAGGUCACCUGGCGGCUCCGCCGGCCGGGCGCCGGUUUUUUCGUUUCUUCCGGUGAGGAACUCCUUUUAAUCAUUCUUGUUUUUGUUGGUUCGGUCUGUUGAUGCUUCGUUAGGAUCAUGCGGUGUUGCUGAUUUUCUUGAUUCCCUCUGCAGUUUUAGGUGACCUGUGACUCAAAUCUUGGCCUGGUCUUCGCUAUCUGAAGACCUGACAUCCCUCAUCAAUUUCAAGUGUGCCUGGAGAGGGGUCUACCAGAUUUUGCAAGAACAAGAUCUUGCAGUUCUUUCCCGCAAAAAANNN
This 652-nucleotide long non-coding RNA is filed under the name Triticum aestivum (bread wheat). RNAcentral's name for it is "long non-coding RNA (TAES_LNC005924)". Lineage: Eukaryota; Viridiplantae; Streptophyta; Magnoliopsida; Poales; Poaceae. The record is from RNAcentral.